This 354-nucleotide unclassified non-coding RNA is filed under the name soil metagenome. Its description in RNAcentral is "partial contains 5.8S ribosomal RNA, internal transcribed spacer 2, and large subunit ribosomal RNA". The stretch from base 1 to 120 matches the Rfam family "5.8S ribosomal RNA", at positions 35 to 154 of the family's 154-position model. The record is from RNAcentral.
GAUGAAGAACGCAGCGAAAUGCGAUAAGUAAUGUGAAUUGCAGAAUUCCGUGAAUCAUCGAAUCUUUGAACGCACAUUGCGCCCCCUGGCAUUCCGGGGGGCAUGCCUGUCCGAGCGUCAUUUCUGCCCUCCAGCCCGGCUGGGUGUUGGGCGCUGUCCCCCCGGGGACACGCCCCAAAGGCAGUGGCGGCGCCGCGUCGGGUCCUUGAGCGUAUGGGGCUUUGUCACCCGCUCGGGACGGACUCGUCGGCGCUGGUCUUCCUCCAGGCGACCCUUCGGGGCUCGUCUUCCUUCGGUUGACCUCGGAUCAGGUAGGGUUACCCGCUGAACUUAAGCAUAUCAAUAAGCGGAGGA